GAUGAACGCUGGCGGCGUGCCUAAUACAUGCAAGUCGAGCGAACAGACGAGGAGCUUGCUCCUCUGACGUUAGCGGCGGACGGGUGAGUAACACGUGGAUAACCUACCUCUAAGACUGGGAUAACUUCGGGAAACCGGAGCUAAUACCGGAUAAUAUAUUGAACCGCAUGGUUCAAUAGUGAAAGACGGUUUUGCUGUCACUUAUAGCUGGAUCCGCGCCGCAUUAGCUAGUUGGUAAGGUAACGGCUUACCAAGGCGACGAUGCGUAGCCGACCUGAGAGGGUGAUCAGCCACACUGGAACUGAGACACGGUCCAGACUCCUACGGGAGGCAGCAGUAGGGAAUCUUCCGCAAUGGGCGAAAGCCUGACGGAGCAACGCCGCGUGAGUGAUGAAGGUCUUCGGAUCGUAAAACUCUGUUAUUAGGGAAGAACAAAUGUGUAAGUAACUAUGCACGUCUUGACGGUACCUAAUCAGAAAGCCACGGCUAACUACGUG
This 497-nucleotide ribosomal RNA is filed under the name uncultured bacterium. RNAcentral's name for it is "partial 16S ribosomal RNA". It matches the Rfam family "Bacterial small subunit ribosomal RNA", at positions 28 to 507 of the family's 1533-position model. The record is from RNAcentral.